This 497-nucleotide ribosomal RNA is filed under the name uncultured bacterium. RNAcentral's name for it is "partial 16S ribosomal RNA". It matches the Rfam family "Bacterial small subunit ribosomal RNA", at positions 28 to 507 of the family's 1533-position model. The record is from RNAcentral.
GAUGAACGCUGGCGGCGUGCCUAAUACAUGCAAGUCGAGCGAACAGACGAGGAGCUUGCUCCUCUGACGUUAGCGGCGGACGGGUGAGUAACACGUGGAUAACCUACCUAUAAGACUGGGAUAACUUCGGGAAACCGGAGCUAAUACCGGAUAAUAUAUUGAACCGCAUGGUUCAAUAGUGAAAGACGGUUUUGCUGUCACUUAUAGAUGGAUCCGCGCCGCAUUAGCUAGUUGGUAAGGUAACGGCUUACCAAGGCGACGAUGCGUAGCCGACCUGGGAGGGUGAUCGGCCACACUGGAACUGAGACACGGUCCAGACUCCUACGGGAGGCAGCAGUAGGGAAUCUUCCGCAAUGGGCGAAAGCCUGACGGAGCAACGCCGCGUGAGUGAUGAAGGUCUUCGGAUCGUAAAACUCUGUUAUUAGGGAAGAACAAUUGUGUAAGUAACUAUGCACGUCUUGACGGUACCUAAUCAGAAAGCCACGGCUAACUACGUG